This 2168-nucleotide long non-coding RNA is filed under the name Gigantopelta aegis. RNAcentral describes it as "uncharacterized LOC121378258". Lineage: Eukaryota; Metazoa; Mollusca; Gastropoda; Neomphalida; Peltospiridae. The record is from RNAcentral.
CCGCGCUGCAUAUCACGCCGGGCCGUAUGUCAUACCACACCGGAACGAUGGGACGACCGACUUUGAUUUUUUAAAUCGUUCUCAUAUUUUGCAUGACUGAAGGACUGCUAUCUCAUCCUACGACCACAAUACCACCACCAACUCUCCCUUCGACAACGACAAAGUGUACAACAGGGGAUACCACUGUAAAAAACUGCUAUGAUGUUGAAUGUGUCGACGGGAAAUGGAGGCCGAUUCAAAGAAGUUUAACCUUACAUUGUUGCAAAAUGUAUCCAAUUCCUAGGUGCUACCAAGCAUUCCCAGAACUCGGACCAUCGCCAUAUGGAGACGAUACCUAUGGAUAGUCAACGAAUUUAAGAAAAGGACAAAAAUAUAAUAUAUGUAUAUCCUUAAAACGAACUUAUGAUACAACCUUUUGGAUCAACGAAUUUAAGUACCGAACGUAAUGUGCAAUUUAUUAAAACCACGGAAAUAUAAGCCAAUAAAAAUAAAGCAUUUCACUACUGUUUUUACAUUGUCGAGCAUAAAACAUUAGCCUAUGGAGCGAUUAAACCAGAAAAAACCCCAACGAUGUCUACCUUUAUGCCUUAGAAGAAGAAAGUGACGUUGUAACUUACUACAAGAUAUGGCAUUCAGUUCCAAAUGCAGAAACAACCGUGUCUAUUCGCACCAUCAUUAUGGGAGUUGGAUCCCCUUUCAGUAUUGCAUAACCUAACGAUCAAUCAUUUCUGAUUCCAACGAAAUAAAAUAAAGAAACGGGGCUCUCUUUCAAUGGAACUAUAUUCGUGGCUGAAAUGGCGAUCUGUAUAUCAGCAAGAGAUGACACAUCGACAUCGUUUGUUUUGUUCAGAGACACCAGUAGAACACAUUAAUUUAUUAACAAGCGGUUACUUGAUGUCAAACAUUUGGUUAUGUUUACUCACAAGCCUCCAGAAGACUAUUGCUACAUUUUCCAUUAGCAGCAAGGGAUCCUUUAUAUGCACUUCCUACAGAUAGGACAGUACAAACCACAACCUUUGAUAUACCAGUCGUGGAACAAUGAUUGGCUGACAAGAAAAAAUGCCAAACUUAGAUGUCUUUUAAUCUGGACUACUACAUGAAUUCAAUAAGAAUGGCAAGGGAUAGCAACAAAAUGUUCAAAUAUUCCAAAGUAUGUUGUACAUCUUAUUAUUAUUACUCACCAAAAGACAAAACAGAAAGCCGGUGUUAAAGUUUCUGUUGUAUAUGGAAAAAUGGCCGCCAUAUGAAACGCACACAUAUUUGAACGUGUCAUCAGUUGGUCUUAUGAUCCCCACACCAUAAUGAAUAAGUCUAGCCAUGUGAAUUAAUGUUACCAUGCCGGUAUCUGUAACCCCCCCCCCCCCCCCCCCCCCCCACACACACACACACAUUUAGGUGGCCCUUGUUUGCAGGACUAAUUGAAACUGUACAACACUACAAUAUAAAAUGGUCCAUUAUUUUAUGCAAUCUUGACCUUGGUGCGAGUCAUAACUUGUUCUUGUCAUAUUCAGGACAGGUGCCUGUCCGCCCAUGGACUUCACCUAUUUAAGCUGGUCUAGCCCUAAUGUAUACUAAGACUUCACCAGGCAAACUGUUACCUUUUGUUGGUCAUCGGUGAUCACCUUGUCUAACACUACAAAACUCACACAUAUCCCGCCAUUGUUCUCAGUGCGGUUAAAGGUGCAUUACAAAAACCUUCAAAACAUAAACAAAAUAUAUUUAUAAUUAAUAUUGUGUUUAAUGGUUUAAAAAUAAAUACACGUCAAAUAAUGUUUUUGAAACUUACCAAAUGACGAAUCGAAUCGCUCCAACGACAAAGCCAAGAAAAUAACGAAUUUGGCCUACCCGUGACAUGAACAGAAUGUCUAAGACCACCUUUAAUUGCACUAUGUUUACCCAUAUAGAUGAUAAGAUAAAAAAUAAAAAAACCAAUGUGCUCUAGUGGCGUCGUUAAAUAAAAAAAUUUUUACUUUAAAACAAACUUUGUACCUCUGAGAAGUAAUGGUUUUAUGGAGACGACUUGACUUGAUUUGAGAGUUUUUUCAUGCUCAUAUACCACGAAGGUUUCGAGCAUGUCUAUCCGAGUCCCGUCUCUGGAUACCAGUGGCCUGACUCGGGGCUAUGGAGACGAGCUCUAGUCUACAUUUGGUGGUAUUUACCCCCAUUUC